Molecule: ribosomal RNA, 468 nt
Filed under: uncultured bacterium
Lineage: Bacteria
Description: partial 16S ribosomal RNA
Rfam family: Bacterial small subunit ribosomal RNA
Source: RNAcentral
GACGAACGCUGGCGGCGUGCUUAACACAUGCAAGUCGAACGGAAAGGCCCUGCUUUUGUGGGGUGCUCGAGUGGCGAACGGGUGAGUAACACGUGAGUAACCUGCCCUUGACUUUGGGAUAACUUCAGGAAACUGGGGCUAAUACCGGAUAGGAGCUCCUGCUGCAUGGUGGGGGUUGGAAAGUUUCGGCGGUUGGGGAUGGACGCGCGGCUUAUCAGCUUGUUGGUGGGGUAGUGGCUUACCAAGGCUUUGACGGGUAGCCGGCCUGAGAGGGUGACCGGCCACAUUGGGACUACGAUACGGCCCAGACUCCUACGGGAGGCAGCAGUGGGGAAUAUUGCCCAAUGGGCGGAAGCCUGAUGCAGCAACGCCGCGUGCGGGAUGACGGCCUUCGGGUUGUAAACCGCUUUCGCCUGUGACGAAGCGUUAGUGACGGUAAUGGGUAAAGAAGCACCGGCUAACUACGUG